AAAGAGAAUCGCUCCCACCGAUUCCUUCCAAAUAAUCUUGAGCAAUUUCAUCAUCAACAUCUGAACCACUAUCAUGCAUGUCCUCGGAGUCAUCACUUUCAAAAGAAUCUGUCGCUCCAUCCUGCUCAGCCGACUCCGACUCUGAGUCUUCCUCAUCACCAUAUUCCGCAACAUCAUCGUCACCAUCUUCCUCAUCGGAUAUAUCUUCUGUAUAUAUUUUCAAUCCCCCAAUUGAUACAAACCCAUAAUUUUUCUUCGUGGAUGUAUCCUUUGACAAAAGUUGAGCCCGCUUUUCAGCUGCUCCAGAGUGAAAGCUCUCACGAUAAUCCACUUCGUGCUCAGGCGAUGACAUGCCACUCUGUCACUCUUCUUGAUUUUCCAUUUUCCCUGAUGAUGCUUCGAUUCCCGUUGGAGCUGCAUCGUAUUCAUUACAAUAACCCAAUCCUCUGUGUGAGCUAUCACCGAGAACAAAAUCUGAAUGAUACUCAAAACUGAUAUUUGCUUGAUCCACUGACGAUGGCCCUUCAUCUACAUAAGCAACAAUUUGGCUGUCCUUUGAACCACACAGAAUGAAAGGCUGAGAAAAUUCCAU
This 592-nucleotide long non-coding RNA is filed under the name Eucalyptus grandis. RNAcentral's name for it is "long non-coding RNA (EGRA_LNC007239)". The record is from RNAcentral. Lineage: Eukaryota; Viridiplantae; Streptophyta; Magnoliopsida; Myrtales; Myrtaceae.